AUCCUGAAGCCGCAGGCCUCGGGGUGUCAAAGUGAGGGAGUGGGGGCUGGGGGAGAAUAUUGUUCUAGCUUCUGUGAUAAAAAACGCUCUGACUGAAAGUACCAGAGGAGGAAAGGGGUUACUUGGCUUUAAUUUCAGAUUACAAUCCAUCACUGAGGCAAGGCAGGGCAGGAACCUGGAAGGAACUGGGAGGAAAUUCGGCCUGCUGGCUUAUUCUCAGGUUCAUGCUUAGCUAACUUUCUUAUACAGGACCACCUUCCUAGGUAUGGUGUUGCCCACAGUGGGCUGGUCACUCCUGCAUCCAUCAAUAGCCAGCCCCCUACAGAUAAAUUCACAGGCUAAUCUGUGUAGGCAAUUCUUCUCAACUGAGACUUUCCUUUGAGAUGACUCUAGUCUGUGUCAAGUUGUCAGUUAAACUAAUUAGGACAGGUUUGUUCUGAGAAGACAGGAGGAAAAGGAUGCCUUACCCUGAUUUGGGGAUGGGGUAAGUGGAGAAGAUUGGGAGGAUAGAAAGAGGAGAGAAAAUAUGAGACUUUUUCCUAGGAGGAGACAACACACACACCUCUCCUUACCCAAAAAUGGAAGUCACAGCAGAUCAAUGUAUGGGUUACACCAAAGUCUAAGUUGGUGAACUUUCAAGUUGUUAUUAGGGUUAUCGACAGCAGCAUGGGUGACUCAGAAAAGCCCACCUCAACACCAGUUGCCUACCCAGCAACCCACAGGCAAUUAACAGUCCUCAGUAGUUUCUGCAGCUCAGCUGUCACUUCCCCCCUCCCCCGUCCCCUCCCCCGUCCCCACUUGGGUAUUCACUCCUUUUCUAAAGCUAGGGAGGGACUUCAAUAAUCUUCCAAAUUUUGACUUUCCCAGACAUGACCUUUUCUUUACCUCUUAAGACUCUUUGAGUCUAUCCCUGCUUCCUGAGUAAAGUGUCACACAACAUAUGCCAUGCCUGUCAACCAAGCCCUGGAGGAGGCCAGCCUGGCUACAGAAUGAGGCCCUGCAUCAAAGAAAAAACAAAAUGUGUACCUCCAUGUAUAUGUAGGAGAAAGUGUCAUAGCCAAACAUAUUCUUUUAUAUAAUUACUAGUCACUGAUUUUAAAAAAAGAAAAAAAAUCUGCAAAGCAUAACACAAAUGUCACAUGAAAUACCGAGAAAAUCAACAUGAUUUGCCUCAUGGGCUUAGAGAACUUAGUCGAUGACUGAGUAGCUUCUUUGCUUGGGCCUGGCAAGGUAGAAUGGGUGGUGGAGCAAUACCAGGCACCUUGUAAGAAGGGACUGAGAGGAGGAAGAUGGGGACAGGGUUCCACCAUGCUCUUGAAGGCCAUGUUUCCAGUGACCUAAAAAUCUUCCCCACUAGGCCUCACCUCCUACAGACUCCACUAGUUCCCAAAAAUGGCUUCUUGGAGGGCUAGCCUUCACUACUUGGACCUCUGUGAAAUGUUUAACUUGCAAACAAACUACAGCACUUGCCUUUCUAUGCUGUGGGGCUUCAGUGGGUUGGCUAAUGGUUGCUUGCAUUGACAAAGAGGCUAUUCUUUAUUCAGUGCACUGGUCCAAUGUAAAUUUCCUUCCAACCCCCUCUUACUAAAAUGUCUAGAAACUGUUUAACUAGCACCUGAACAUCCCUUACAGUUAAGGCCACACCUAAAGUUAGUAGUUAUGACUUGUCAAAGGAAGUGCACUUCAAACAGCAGUAAUCACACACAGCCUAAAGGAAAGCCUGCCUGCUGGGAGAUCAAGAUCACCAUUAACCACUUUCUCGUACAAGCAUUUUACACGUAGUCUUAACACUAACUGGGUUGCAGAGUCCUGGAACUGGAGUUAUUAGUGACUUCGAGUUGCCAUGUGGGUGCUGAGGACCAAAUGUGGGUCCUUUGCAAGAAGGGUAGUAGGUGCUCUUAAUGACUUGAAUCAUCUCUCCAGCCCCCUCAACUCUUUUUUAUGACAGUUUUUUUUGUUCUUGUUGUUAGAAGAGUAAUCAAGAGCCGGAUGGUGGUGGUGUGUGCCUUUGAUCCCAGCACUAGGGAGGCAGAGGCAGACGGAUCUCUGAGUUUGAGGCCAGCUUGGUUUACAAAGUUCUAGGACAGGCAGGGCUACAUAGAGAAAUCCUGUCUUGAACAUCCCUCCUACCCUCACAAAAAAGUAAUCAGUAACUAAUUCCAAUGUGCAUACUUUUUGGGUACAGACCCCAUACUUUUGUCCAUUUCUCUUGACCGUUAGCUGCGUUUGUCGCAUGUGGUAAUCUAUGCUUGUGAUUCUAGCACUCAGGAAACUGGUGUAGGAAGUUUACAAGUUCAGACGCAGCUUGGGCUGGUCUUUUUGAGAUCAUGACUGCCCCCUCAAGCCCCAAUCUUGAUAAUGUGUUCUUGAGUUAUUGAAAAUACAAAUAGUAUGCUAAUAGAUACAAUAUCAAAUAGAACCGUAGGAUGAUCAAUAUAUUUUUGCAAAAACACUGUCAUGAAACUUGUCUUAAGAGAUUCAAAGUAUCAGAGCUGCAAAUUUGGGGGCUGGAGAGCUGACUCGGGAGCACUGGUUGCUCUUCCAGAGCACUCAGGUUCAAUUCACACCCUCUAAGUCCAGGGGACCUGAUACACUCUCGGAGGCCUCCUCGGUUUCCAGACACGCACUUAGCAUGCAUGCAUACAUGUAGGUAAAACACUCAUACACAUUAAAAAGACAAAAACAGAAAAACAAGGGCUGGAGAGAUGGCUCUGAAGAACACUUGCUGUUCUUCCAGAGGUCCUGAGUUCAAUUUCCAGCAACCACAUGGUGGCUCACAGCCAUCUGUAAUGGGAUCUGACGUCCUAUUCUGGUGUGCAGGCACACAUGCAGACAGAACACUGUAUAUAUAAUAAAUAAAUCUUUAAAAAAACAAAACAAAAAACCCAAAAUGUUCUUUAGCUGGAGAGAUGACUCAGCAGUAGAGUGCUCACUGCUGCCUUGCGGUGCUCAGCGACCAGCACUCCUGCAUGAGGGCUUAGAAGAGCCUGGUUCUCCUGCUCUAGGGGAUUUGGUGUCCUCUUUCGGCUGUUGUGAGCAACUGCAUGCACAUGAGUAUUAAUCCCACACAAACCUAUAUAGUACACAUAAGUAAAAAUCUUUUAAAUUAAAAAAAAAGUGAUGUUGGUACCGUAGUGAUAUUAUUUGAUUUCCAGGAAGUUCAGAAUGUGUUGUCACUAAGCAUAUGUGGGUGUUAUAGCAACCUGCUAUAAAUUCUCUAUAUUCUGGGUAAAGUCCUAUACUGAUCAGAUAACAGAUACAGGGGUAGUUGGGUUGGUGGGGAUAGUGAUAGUGAUGGUUGGUGGUUGCUAAGGCCUGGGGAACUGUUGCCUGUUUAGCCAUCCACCUUAUGCUGUUAUAAGGAAACUUUCUCAUGCCUGAGUUGAUUGCAUAUUCUGUUACGUUCUGUGCUUUGGUGUUCUUGUAAACCAGUCACAAUAGAGGUCAGAAUUGCUUUGUAUAGUUAGCUUGCUUGCUUGGGUCUGAACCAACCUCCCAGCAGCACUUCCUGCUGUAUGAACUUUUAGGGUUUUUGCCUUUAUAAGCUGCCCCUGGGAUCCCAACACAAGAGAGACAUCUACACCAAUAUAAGAAGCCAUUUGGAAUAAAACUUCCAUUUUCAUUUUAAGUAAGGGGUCAGAUAAAGUUUUGAGUUUUGGAGACCUCCCUGGGAAUUAACAUCAUACUUGUCAGAGUCAUAUACAAGGGUAACUGACGUCCUGGUUGGCAAGCUAAGACAUGAAUGUUAGGCAAGGUCUGUCCCUCCAUCACAAUUAAAUAACCCAAGUAUACAACAAAGACGUGUUCCUAAGGAAGUCUCCAUCCCUAAAUUCUGAUUGGUGGAAUAAUUUGGCAGAUGUUUAUGGAUUUCAGGCUUAAAAACCCUGUGCUAUUCUAGUUGGGAGUCACAGUUUAGCUCUUAAGUCUGAGCUGCCUCCCUGAUUGAUCAGUCUUGAGGUAUGCAUGCAAUAAAUCAGCCCUGUUUAACUGAGA
RNAcentral lists this long non-coding RNA (3993 nucleotides) under Mus musculus (house mouse). RNAcentral describes it as "long non-coding RNA chr7:34396035-34400028". Lineage: Eukaryota; Metazoa; Chordata; Mammalia; Rodentia; Muridae. The record is from RNAcentral.